Long non-coding RNA from Gymnodraco acuticeps, 343 nucleotides. RefSeq lists it as uncharacterized. The transcript is spliced from 3 exons. The record is from RefSeq and is a predicted model, not a curated record. NCBI's taxonomy places the organism in Eukaryota, Metazoa, Chordata, Actinopteri, Perciformes, Bathydraconidae.
GGUCUCCUCCUGCUGGAGCUACAGCUGUCUGUAUGUCUACUGCAGGAGUUUAGUUUAUGGAUUAAUAUCGGGAUCGUUUUACAUCUACACGUUAAAUAUGAGCAUCGGGACGUCAACAAAGAACAGAAGACUUGAGAUCUGAGCACCAGUGGACAGUGAGGACUAUGGAAGAGAAGAUGUGAUGGCUUUGUGUGGAAAGCUGCUGAUGCCAUCCUGUGUCCCUCAUCAGUCUCUCCAGGCAGCACCCAGCUAUUCUUCCAUCUUGCAGAUGAAAAUACUUUGAUAUCACCUGGACACAGCAGGAACCUACGCCAGGAUCCUGUUUGUGGACUUCAGCUCUGCC